ACAGUCUAACCCCAACUUUCGCUGCAGCUGCUCUUUUCAUAGAUAAUGCAAGAUGGGAUGGGGUGCCUUUCCUUAUGAAGGCUGGAAAAGCUUUACAUACCAGGAGUGCGGAAAUAAGAGUACAAUUCAGGCACGUGCCAGGAAAUUUAUACAAUAAGAACUUUGGCUCGGAUCUAGAUCAGGCAACAAACGAGCUUGUUAUCCGUGUUCAACCUGACGAAGCAAUAUACCUAAAGAUCAAUAACAAAGUUCCCGGUCUAGGAAUGAGACUGGAUCGCAGUAAUCUUAAUCUGCUUUACUCAGCAAGAUACUCGAAGGAGAUCCCUGAUGCAUAUGAGCGGCUACUUCUUGAUGCCAUAGAAGGUGAACGUAGGCUUUUUAUUCGCAGUGAUGAACUGGAUGCUGCUUGGUCUCUUUUCACACCAGUAUUGAAAGAACUUGAGCAUAAGAAAAUAGUUCCAGAAAGCUACCCUUAUGGAAGUCGAGGACCUAUUGGAGCACAUUACCUUGCAGCACGAUAUAAAGUA
Molecule: unclassified non-coding RNA, 527 nt
Filed under: Hevea brasiliensis (rubber tree)
Lineage: Eukaryota; Viridiplantae; Streptophyta; Magnoliopsida; Malpighiales; Euphorbiaceae
Source: RNAcentral